RNAcentral lists this ribosomal RNA (447 nucleotides) under uncultured bacterium. RNAcentral's name for it is "partial 16S ribosomal RNA". It matches the Rfam family "Bacterial small subunit ribosomal RNA", at positions 29 to 523 of the family's 1533-position model. The record is from RNAcentral.
AGCGAACGCUGGCGGCAGGCUUAACACAUGCAAGUCGAGCGCCCCGCAAGGGGAGCGGCAGACGGGUGAGUAACACGUGGGAACGUGCCUUUUGGUUCGGAACAACCCAGGGAAACUUGGGCUAAUACCGGAUAAGCCCUUACGGGGAAAGAUUUAUCGCCAAAAGAUCGGCCCGCGUCUGAUUAGCUAGUUGGUGGGGUAAUGGCCCACCAAGGCUACGAUCAGUAGCUGGUCUGAGAGGAUGAUCAGCCACAUUGGGACUGAGACACGGCCCAAACUCCGACGGGAGGCCGCAGUGGGGAAUAUUGGACACUGGGGGCAACCCUAAUCCAGCCAUGCCGGGUGAGUGAUGAAGGCCUUAGGGUUGUAAAGCUCUUUUAGCAGGGAAGAUAAUGACGGUACCUGCAGAAAAAGCCCCGGCUAACUUCGUGCCAGCCGCCGCAGUAA